CGAAGGGGGCUAGCGUUGUUCGGAAUUACUGGGCGUAAAGGGUGCGUAGGUUGUAUGGUUAGUUAGUGGUGAAAGCCCAGGGCUUAACUCUGGAAUUGCCAUUAAAACUGCCAUGCUAGAGAGUGAUAGAGGUGAGUGGAAUUUCUAGUGUAGGAGUGAAAUCCGUAGAUAUUAGAAGGAACAUCGAUGGCGAAGGCAGCUCACUGGGUCACAUCUGACACUGAGGCACGAAAGCGUGGGUAGCAAACAGGAUUAGAUACCCUGGUAGUCCACGCCCUAAACGAUGGAUGCUAGAUGUCGGGACAUUAGUUUCGGCGUCGUAGUUAACGCGUUAAGCAUCCCGCCUGGGGAGUACGGUCGCAAGAUUA
Molecule: ribosomal RNA, 368 nt
Filed under: uncultured organism
Description: bacterial SSU rRNA
Rfam family: Bacterial small subunit ribosomal RNA
Source: RNAcentral